UUAAAUAAAUAUGGUGCACA
This 20-nucleotide non-coding RNA is filed under the name Arabidopsis thaliana (thale cress). Lineage: Eukaryota; Viridiplantae; Streptophyta; Magnoliopsida; Brassicales; Brassicaceae. The record is from RNAcentral.